This 1555-nucleotide ribosomal RNA is filed under the name uncultured Glomeromycotina. Its description in RNAcentral is "eukaryotic LSU rRNA". The stretch from base 709 to 1555 matches the Rfam family "Eukaryotic large subunit ribosomal RNA", at positions 1 to 695 of the family's 3401-position model. Lineage: Eukaryota; Fungi; Glomeromycota. The record is from RNAcentral.
UAUUGUUCUUCAACGAGGAAUCCCUAGUAAGCACAAGUCAUCAGCUUGUGCUGAUUACGUCCCUGCCCUUUGUACACACCGCCCGUCGCUACUACCGAUUGAAUGGCUUAGUGAGACCCUCGGAUUGACGUUCAUCGGCUGUAAAAGGCUUUUGUCUGUUGAAAAGUUGGUCAAACUUGGUCAUUUAGAGGAAGUAAAAGUCGUAACAAGGUUUCCGUAGGUGAACCUGCGGAAGGAUCAUUAUUGAAUCUAAGCAAGCCUGGCAUUUAUUUUGCAAGGCUCUGCACGUAUUUAAAACCCCACACUUUUGAAAAUAACAUAUAUCUUACUUGAAAAAAAGUAAUUAAAAGAUCACUUUCAACAACGGAUCUCUUGGUUCUCGCAUCGAUGAAGAACGUAGCGAAGUGCGAUAAGUAGUGUGAAUUGCAGAAUUCCGUGGAUCAUCGAAUUUUUGAACGCAAAUUGCACUCUCUGGUAUUCCGGAGAGUAUGCCUGUUUGAGGGUCAUCAAAUAAAAAAUCGAUUUGUUACUUUGGUAACGUUUCGGAAUUGGGUCAUCUUAAACCUUCAGGGUUCAAGAGGCUUAAAAUUGAUCGUUUUUGGUAUGAAUUAAGCGUAUUUAAGAUCCCUUAUCACGCGCUUGAUGAGUAUCGGAUGUUUAUUAGGCAUGACCAUGAUCAUGGUUUCGCGCCCAUAAUCUUUCAUGAAAUGACCUCAAAUCGGGUAGGAUUACCCGCUGAACUUAAGCAUAUCAAUAAGCGGAGGAAAAGAAAAUAACAAUGAUUCCCCUAGUAACGGCGAGCGAAGAGGGAAUAGCUCAAAUUUUAAAUCUGUUAGGUCUUACCUAACCGAGUUGUAAUUUGAAGAAGCGUUUUCUGCGUGUUUGAUUUAGCCCAAAUCCUUUGGGAUAAGGUAUCAUGGAGGGUGAGAAUCCCGUCCGGCCUAAUCAAAUGUGCAUUACGAUACGUUUUCUAAGAGUCGAGUUGUUUGGGAUUGCAGCUCAAAAUGGGAGGUAAAUUUCUCCUAAGGCUAAAUACCGGCGAGAGACCGAUAGCGAACAAGUACCGUGAGGGAAAGAUGAAAAGAACUUUGAAAAGAGAGUUAAAUAGUACGUGAAAUUGUUGAAAGGGAAACGAUUGAAGUCAGUCGUACCGGCGGGAAAUCAGCUUCUCGAGUGGGGGUUCGUGGGUGCGUUGAGCUUCGGCCUUCGUCGCUUGUGAUUCCUUUGCUUCUGGGGCGUACUUUUCCGUGUGGUAGGUCAACAUCGGUUUUGAUUACCAUAAAAUGACCGGAGGAAUGUGGCUUCGAUCUUGCAUUGGAGUGUUAUAGCCUCUGGUAGAUGUGGUGGUUGGGAUCGAGGAUUGCAACGAAUACCCUUUGGGCUAUCCGCCUGACCUCUGAAAGUCGCUUGGGUACCGAAAGCUUGCUUAUGGUCAUUCAAGUUGGCGGUCAAAAGGUUAGAACGUGAUUAAAUUCGUUAAGGAUGUUGACGUAAUGGCUUUAAACGACCCGUCUUGAAACACGGACCAAGGAGUCUAGCAUAUAUGCGAGUGUUA